Molecule: non-coding RNA, 106 nt
Organism: Acanthosepion pharaonis
Lineage: Eukaryota; Metazoa; Mollusca; Cephalopoda; Sepiida; Sepiidae
Source: the annotation of a GenBank genome assembly
GCCACAUCAUGUUGAAAUAUCAGUUCCCGUAGGAUCACUGAAGUUAAGCAAUGUCAUGCCUGCUUAGUACCUAGAUGGGUGACUGCGUGGAUAUACAAGUGGUGUA